This 600-nucleotide ribosomal RNA is filed under the name uncultured Microbacterium sp. Its description in RNAcentral is "bacterial SSU rRNA". It matches the Rfam family "Bacterial small subunit ribosomal RNA", at positions 156 to 773 of the family's 1533-position model. Lineage: Bacteria; Bacillati; Actinomycetota; Actinomycetes; Micrococcales; Microbacteriaceae. The record is from RNAcentral.
ACGGCGUCUAAUACUGGAUAUGUGACGUGAUCGCAUGGUCUGCGUCUGGAAAGAAUUUCGGUUGGGGAUGGGCUCGCGGCCUAUCAGCUUGUUGGUGAGGUAAUGGCUCACCAAGGCGUCGACGGGUAGCCGGCCUGAGAGGGUGACCGGCCACACUGGGACUGAGACACGGCCCAGACUCCUACGGGAGGCAGCAGUGGGGAAUAUUGCACAAUGGGCGCAAGCCUGAUGCAGCAACGCCGCGUGAGGGAUGACGGCCUUCGGGUUGUAAACCUCUUUUAGCAGGGAAGAAGCGAAAGUGACGGUACCUGCUUAAUAAGCGCCGGCUAACUACGUGCCAGCAGCCGCGGUAAUACGUAGGGCGCAAGCGUUAUCCGGAAUUAUUGGGCGUAAAGAGCUCGUAGGCGGUUUGUCGCGUCUGCUGUGAAAUCCGGAGGCUCAACCUCCGGCCUGCAGUGGGUACGGGCAGACUAGAGUGCGGUAGGGGAGAUUGGAAUUCCUGGUGUAGCGGUGGAAUGCGCAGAUAUCAGGAGGAACACCGAUGGCGAAGCAGAUCUCUGGGCCGUAACUGACGCUGAGAGCGAAAGGUGGGGAGCAAAC